RNAcentral lists this ribosomal RNA (236 nucleotides) under uncultured bacterium. RNAcentral describes it as "partial 16S ribosomal RNA". It matches the Rfam family "Bacterial small subunit ribosomal RNA", at positions 923 to 1163 of the family's 1533-position model. The record is from RNAcentral.
GCACAAGCAGUGGAGUAUGUGGUUUAAUUCGACGCAACGCGAAGAACCUUACCAGAGCUUGACAUCCCGAGAAAGCCGGGUAAUGCCGGCCGUGCCCUUCGGGGAACUCGGAGACAGGUGGUGCAUGGUUGUCGUCAGCUCGUGUCGUGAGAUGUUGGGUUAAGUCCCGCAACGAGCGCAACCCUUACGGUUAGUUGCUACGCAAGAGCACUCUAACAGGACUGCCGUUGAUAAAA